Molecule: non-coding RNA, 920 nt
Organism: Pelodiscus sinensis (Chinese soft-shelled turtle)
Lineage: Eukaryota; Metazoa; Chordata; Testudines; Trionychidae
Source: RefSeq, a predicted model, not a curated record
CAGGUGCAGACGAUGGUGCAGCAGCUCGUGGUCUAUAACUACCUGCCCAUCAUUGUGGGCAGCAGCGUGGGAGGCCUGGUCCUGCUGGCUCUCAUCACUGCAGCCCUCUACAAGGCCGGCUUCUUCAAGCGCCAGUACAAGGAGAUGAUGGACAGCGCGAGGGGUGGGGAUGGGACCGGCCCGGACUAGAGCGACUCUGCCAGUGUCUGCCCCAGCCCCCACAUCCCCAAGCAAUAGCCCCUCCCCCACAUGGGAUGCUCUGGAUCUCCACUCCCCCACAUCACCCGCCAUGGACCACCAUCAGUCUGCACCCCGAUGUGCUGCUUGCUCUCAGACCAGCCCCCUAGGACCACCGUGUGGGGUUGGCAAGUGGACUCCUGGGUUCGCUCCCAGCUCUGGCUAGGGAGUGGUGUCUAGUGGUUAGAGAGGGUGGCUCAGGGACCAGAACUCCUGGGUUCUCUCUCUAAUGCAGGGCUGGGGAACUUUUUUCAGGUUGUGGUCCCCUGACCCACAGAAAAAUCAGCCAGGAGGCACAGAACAAACCCUCAUUGACAUGGCCACUCACUGAGAAGCAAAAAGACCCUCUCCCCACUUUCCCCUGACACCCCAGAACCCAGGGGGGCCCAGGCUUGUAGAUUUUGUGUGCUCCAGCCCCACAGUGGGGCGGUGGAGAGGGUGGAGCCCCAGCAUGGGCUCUCCAGUGCUGGGAGGGGUCCCUGAACCUUGGGGGCGCGAUCCAGAGAAGAUAUGGGGCUGUAUCUGCCCCCCUGGGCCUUAGGUUCCCCACACCCACCCUAACGGACGCCUGGCCUGUUCUGCAUCCGACCAGACUAGUGUGGGAGGUGAACCCUCGCAAAGCAGUGGCCGCUAAGGAGCUUUGGUGUAUUAAAAAGCAGACUGAGGUGUGCUUAUUGCAACCA